GGAGAGGUGACCGAGAGGCCGAAGGUGCGGCACUGGAAAUGCCGUGUACGCCAAAAGCGUACCGAGGGUUCGAAUCCCUCCCUCUCCG
Molecule: transfer RNA, 88 nt
Filed under: Isosphaera pallida ATCC 43644
Lineage: Bacteria; Pseudomonadati; Planctomycetota; Planctomycetia; Isosphaerales; Isosphaeraceae
Description: tRNA-Ser (GGA) (tRNA-Ser-GGA-1-1)
Rfam family: tRNA
About the family: Transfer RNA (tRNA) molecules are approximately 80 nucleotides in length.
Source: Rfam by way of RNAcentral